AUGGAUGAUAUGCAUGUCAUAGGGCGUGAAGAUUCUUUUGCUCGUGAAAUGAAGCAUGCACAUUUUGCCAAACGGCCCAGCCUUCGCUCAUGCCUACAAAGUCUGCAGAUACGGCUAACCACGCAUCUCACAAAAAGUCAUCAUCGAUCACCGAAUACCCCACCAUCGUGCCUGCCGGGCGUGAUGACUGCCAUGGAUGGCGUUGGCAGGGGCCGGAGGGUACAACUACAGAGGGAACCUGGGUGGGCGACGGCGUACUCCAAAGCGGGCAGACGCGUAGGUGGGGAUUGCGGAUGUCCAAAGAUGACUGGGUAG
This 315-nucleotide ribosomal RNA is filed under the name Triticum aestivum (bread wheat). Its description in RNAcentral is "partial small subunit ribosomal RNA". The record is from RNAcentral. Lineage: Eukaryota; Viridiplantae; Streptophyta; Magnoliopsida; Poales; Poaceae.